This 71-nucleotide transfer RNA is filed under the name Candidatus Ryanbacteria bacterium. RNAcentral describes it as "tRNA-Gln". It matches the Rfam family "tRNA". Rfam says of the family: Transfer RNA (tRNA) molecules are approximately 80 nucleotides in length. Their secondary structure includes four short double-helical elements and three loops (D, anti-codon, and T loops). Lineage: Bacteria; Candidatus Ryaniibacteriota. The record is from RNAcentral.
UGCGGGAUCGUCUAACGGCAGGACACCACGCUCUGGACGUGGGUAUCUAGGUUCGAAUCCUAGUCCCGCAG